GGAUGUGAGAUUCAAACUGCUUCAAGUUCCUCAACUUCUCCACAAGCACAGACUGUAACCGGGAAUGGUCAGCCAAAUAAACCUUUCACUUCUACGUUCCUUUCAUAGACAGGAUUUAUCACAGCAACAGGAAGCUGGACAAAGACAGGACUUGAGUUAAAAGAUUAGUGGCUUCCCCCUUAUGCAUAAGGGGAUGGAAUAAUCCUUCGUUUGCUCCAGCGUUUGCCGAAAUUCUGCUCGGGAGAAAAACAAGCCUCAGUCAUGACUCCGGUUCUUGCAGUUAUGCCUUCUCUGCCUUGAUGUACUAUCCUCUCCAACACUGUAAGUGCAAUAAACCUUCUCCCUUUAAAGUUGUUUUUGUCCGAGUAUUUUACCACAGCAAUGGGGAAGAAAGUACUAAAAUUGGUAAGCAUUUUAUCCUAUCGGUAUCAUAAUUUGCUUCUCUGUGAUGUGAGGAUUUUGAUUGCUAAAAGAUUAGCAUUAGACAUGAUGCUACGUGUUAUCUAAUUUGGUCAAGAUGAAAACUCAAUGUGAUUUU
RNAcentral lists this small RNA (538 nucleotides) under Rattus norvegicus (Norway rat). RNAcentral's name for it is "uncharacterized LOC102547949". The record is from RNAcentral. Lineage: Eukaryota; Metazoa; Chordata; Mammalia; Rodentia; Muridae.